RNAcentral lists this ribosomal RNA (469 nucleotides) under uncultured bacterium. RNAcentral describes it as "partial 16S ribosomal RNA". It matches the Rfam family "Bacterial small subunit ribosomal RNA", at positions 28 to 507 of the family's 1533-position model. The record is from RNAcentral.
GACGAACGCUGGCGGCGUGCUUAACACAUGCAAGUCGAACGGAAAGGCCCUGCUUGCAGGGUGCUCGAGUGGCGAACGGGUGAGUAACACGUGGGUGAUCUGCCCCUUACUUUGGGAUAAGCCUGGGAAACUGGGUCUAAUACUGGAUAGGACCAUGCUGUAGGUGGUGUGGUGGAAAGAUUAGUUUCGGUAAGGGAUGAGCUCGCGGCCUAUCAGCUUGUUGGUGGGGUAAUGGCCUACCAAGGCGUCGACGGGUAGCCGGCCUGAGAGGGUGGACGGCCACAUUGGGACUGAGAUACGGCCCAGACUCCUACGGGAGGCAGGAGAGGGGAAUAUUGCACAAUGGGCGCAAGCCUGAUGCAGCGACGCCGCGUGGGGGAUGACGGCCUUCGGGUUGUAAACUCCUUUCAGCCAUGACGAAGCCCUUGUGGUGACGGUAGUGGUAAAAGAAGCACCGGCUAACUACGUG